This 251-nucleotide ribosomal RNA is filed under the name uncultured prokaryote. RNAcentral's name for it is "partial 16S rRNA". It matches the Rfam family "Bacterial small subunit ribosomal RNA", at positions 525 to 775 of the family's 1533-position model. The record is from RNAcentral.
ACGGAGGGUGCGAGCGUUAUUCGGAAUUACUGGGCGUAAAGCGCGUGCAGGCGGGGAGGCAAGUCUGAUGUGAAAGCCCUGGGCUUAACCCGGGAAGGGCAUUGGAAACUGUCUGACUUGAGGACGGGAGAGGAAGGGGGAAUUCCCGGUGUAGCGGUGCAAUUCGUAGAGAUCGGGAGGAAAACCAGUGGCGAAGGCGCCCUUCUGGACGGUUACUCACGCUGAGACGCGAAAACGUGGGGAGCAAACAG